UAACAGUUCUUUUGAUUCGAUACGAGCGAGGGAAAAAAUUUAUAAUUCGAGGCGACUUGCGCGGUACGCUCGUACGUAAUUAUUUCUCGCAAAAGAUAUUCGAGGGUUUUCGAUCGUAACACGACAAUAAAAAAAUACGGGAUUUAUUCCAAUUAAGUAGUGAAUUAAAAUUACGUAAUCGUAAAGUGUGCGAGACACUGUUUUUUUUAAAUAUUAAUUUCGCUCAGAAAAAUAAUAUUUUCUCACACGAUGUUUGUUUAUUUCAAAGUGUAAGCUUGCAAAUCGAUUUAUUCCGAAGAUGUCGUUGAAGAUCUAAUGGAAUAUUAUGCAAGUGCAUCGAACAAAAAAGCAAGGGCUCGUAGGGCCAUUGAACCCAACGGGCUUUGUUCUCGUUGCAACAUCAAUGGUUUUCGAGAUUGAAUGCAACGUUUAAAACGCUAGCGAGAUGAAAACUUUCAAACGGUUCACGAAGUCAAAUCACAUCAAUUUUUUAGAGUACUAUAUUAUUUAUAAUUUUCAGAGAUAUUGUGAAACUACCGCCAAUUCGAAAUGUAAAUUUUGCUAAAAAUAAAUCUAAGAAACUAGACAAUUAAAAAAUAUUUAGUUUUAAUGUUUGUCAAUAGAAAUUUGAAUACAUAAUCGCUUAACUGAAUGUUGACACUGUUCACACUUCCUUAUUUGAAAAAGUCUUGCUGGUAAAUACAACUCUGUCAUUGCUCUUUAGUGCUAAUUCUCGGCACGUUUUGUCAGCCUAAAAAGUGAAUACUCAGAAAAAGCCAGUUUAAAAAAACAGUCAUUAUAAUUAUUUCUUUGUUAUUAGGUUGAAACGUAAAAGUAAAAUGUUAAAACGAGUUUUUUUUUUUGAAAUCUAACCAACAAAAUUAUAUAAUUACUGAUUA
This is a long non-coding RNA of Melitaea cinxia (Glanville fritillary), 899 nucleotides long. RefSeq lists it as uncharacterized. Lineage: Eukaryota; Metazoa; Arthropoda; Insecta; Lepidoptera; Nymphalidae. The transcript is spliced from 3 exons. The record is from RefSeq and is a predicted model, not a curated record.